This 2903-nucleotide ribosomal RNA is filed under the name Escherichia coli. RNAcentral's name for it is "23S ribosomal RNA". It matches the Rfam family "Bacterial large subunit ribosomal RNA". The record is from RNAcentral. Lineage: Bacteria; Pseudomonadati; Pseudomonadota; Gammaproteobacteria; Enterobacterales; Enterobacteriaceae.
GGUUAAGCGACUAAGCGUACACGGUGGAUGCCCUGGCAGUCAGAGGCGAUGAAGGACGUGCUAAUCUGCGAUAAGCGUCGGUAAGGUGAUAUGAACCGUUAUAACCGGCGAUUUCCGAAUGGGGAAACCCAGUGUGUUUCGACACACUAUCAUUAACUGAAUCCAUAGGUUAAUGAGGCGAACCGGGGGAACUGAAACAUCUAAGUACCCCGAGGAAAAGAAAUCAACCGAGAUUCCCCCAGUAGCGGCGAGCGAACGGGGAGCAGCCCAGAGCCUGAAUCAGUGUGUGUGUUAGUGGAAGCGUCUGGAAAGGCGCGCGAUACAGGGUGACAGCCCCGUACACAAAAAUGCACAUGCUGUGAGCUCGAUGAGUAGGGCGGGACACGUGGUAUCCUGUCUGAAUAUGGGGGGACCAUCCUCCAAGGCUAAAUACUCCUGACUGACCGAUAGUGAACCAGUACCGUGAGGGAAAGGCGAAAAGAACCCCGGCGAGGGGAGUGAAAAAGAACCUGAAACCGUGUACGUACAAGCAGUGGGAGCACGCUUAGGCGUGUGACUGCGUACCUUUUGUAUAAUGGGUCAGCGACUUAUAUUCUGUAGCAAGGUUAACCGAAUAGGGGAGCCGAAGGGAAACCGAGUCUUAACUGGGCGUUAAGUUGCAGGGUAUAGACCCGAAACCCGGUGAUCUAGCCAUGGGCAGGUUGAAGGUUGGGUAACACUAACUGGAGGACCGAACCGACUAAUGUUGAAAAAUUAGCGGAUGACUUGUGGCUGGGGGUGAAAGGCCAAUCAAACCGGGAGAUAGCUGGUUCUCCCCGAAAGCUAUUUAGGUAGCGCCUCGUGAAUUCAUCUCCGGGGGUAGAGCACUGUUUCGGCAAGGGGGUCAUCCCGACUUACCAACCCGAUGCAAACUGCGAAUACCGGAGAAUGUUAUCACGGGAGACACACGGCGGGUGCUAACGUCCGUCGUGAAGAGGGAAACAACCCAGACCGCCAGCUAAGGUCCCAAAGUCAUGGUUAAGUGGGAAACGAUGUGGGAAGGCCCAGACAGCCAGGAUGUUGGCUUAGAAGCAGCCAUCAUUUAAAGAAAGCGUAAUAGCUCACUGGUCGAGUCGGCCUGCGCGGAAGAUGUAACGGGGCUAAACCAUGCACCGAAGCUGCGGCAGCGACACUAUGUGUUGUUGGGUAGGGGAGCGUUCUGUAAGCCUGUGAAGGUGUGCUGUGAGGCAUGCUGGAGGUAUCAGAAGUGCGAAUGCUGACAUAAGUAACGAUAAAGCGGGUGAAAAGCCCGCUCGCCGGAAGACCAAGGGUUCCUGUCCAACGUUAAUCGGGGCAGGGUGAGUCGACCCCUAAGGCGAGGCCGAAAGGCGUAGUCGAUGGGAAACAGGUUAAUAUUCCUGUACUUGGUGUUACUGCGAAGGGGGGACGGAGAAGGCUAUGUUGGCCGGGCGACGGUUGUCCCGGUUUAAGCGUGUAGGCUGGUUUUCCAGGCAAAUCCGGAAAAUCAAGGCUGAGGCGUGAUGACGAGGCACUACGGUGCUGAAGCAACAAAUGCCCUGCUUCCAGGAAAAGCCUCUAAGCAUCAGGUAACAUCAAAUCGUACCCCAAACCGACACAGGUGGUCAGGUAGAGAAUACCAAGGCGCUUGAGAGAACUCGGGUGAAGGAACUAGGCAAAAUGGUGCCGUAACUUCGGGAGAAGGCACGCUGAUAUGUAGGUGAAGCGACUUGCUCGUGGAGCUGAAAUCAGUCGAAGAUACCAGCUGGCUGCAACUGUUUAUUAAAAACACAGCACUGUGCAAACACGAAAGUGGACGUAUACGGUGUGACGCCUGCCCGGUGCCGGAAGGUUAAUUGAUGGGGUUAGCGCAAGCGAAGCUCUUGAUCGAAGCCCCGGUAAACGGCGGCCGUAACUAUAACGGUCCUAAGGUAGCGAAAUUCCUUGUCGGGUAAGUUCCGACCUGCACGAAUGGCGUAAUGAUGGCCAGGCUGUCUCCACCCGAGACUCAGUGAAAUUGAACUCGCUGUGAAGAUGCAGUGUACCCGCGGCAAGACGGAAAGACCCCGUGAACCUUUACUAUAGCUUGACACUGAACAUUGAGCCUUGAUGUGUAGGAUAGGUGGGAGGCUUUGAAGUGUGGACGCCAGUCUGCAUGGAGCCGACCUUGAAAUACCACCCUUUAAUGUUUGAUGUUCUAACGUUGACCCGUAAUCCGGGUUGCGGACAGUGUCUGGUGGGUAGUUUGACUGGGGCGGUCUCCUCCUAAAGAGUAACGGAGGAGCACGAAGGUUGGCUAAUCCUGGUCGGACAUCAGGAGGUUAGUGCAAUGGCAUAAGCCAGCUUGACUGCGAGCGUGACGGCGCGAGCAGGUGCGAAAGCAGGUCAUAGUGAUCCGGUGGUUCUGAAUGGAAGGGCCAUCGCUCAACGGAUAAAAGGUACUCCGGGGAUAACAGGCUGAUACCGCCCAAGAGUUCAUAUCGACGGCGGUGUUUGGCACCUCGAUGUCGGCUCAUCACAUCCUGGGGCUGAAGUAGGUCCCAAGGGUAUGGCUGUUCGCCAUUUAAAGUGGUACGCGAGCUGGGUUUAGAACGUCGUGAGACAGUUCGGUCCCUAUCUGCCGUGGGCGCUGGAGAACUGAGGGGGGCUGCUCCUAGUACGAGAGGACCGGAGUGGACGCAUCACUGGUGUUCGGGUUGUCAUGCCAAUGGCACUGCCCGGUAGCUAAAUGCGGAAGAGAUAAGUGCUGAAAGCAUCUAAGCACGAAACUUGCCCCGAGAUGAGUUCUCCCUGACUCCUUGAGAGUCCUGAAGGAACGUUGAAGACGACGACGUUGAUAGGCCGGGUGUGUAAGCGCAGCGAUGCGUUGAGCUAACCGGUACUAAUGAACCGUGAGGCUUAACCUU